RNAcentral lists this small nuclear RNA (188 nucleotides) under Leptobrachium leishanense (Leishan spiny toad). RNAcentral describes it as "U2 spliceosomal RNA (ENSLLEG00000016078.1)". It matches the Rfam family "U2 spliceosomal RNA". Rfam says of the family: U2 is a small nuclear RNA (snRNA) component of the spliceosome (involved in pre-mRNA splicing). The record is from RNAcentral. Lineage: Eukaryota; Metazoa; Chordata; Amphibia; Anura; Megophryidae.
ACUAUUUUACUAUGUUCUCUCUUUCAAUCAAAUAAUCUGUUCUUACAAGUUUAAUAUCUAAUACGCCUCCUAUCUGCGCGCCAUACAGUAAAGGGGUUUUUAGAGCAAGGAGAUGGAAGAAGAGCUUGCUCUGUCCACUCCACGCAUUGACCUGGUAUUGCAGUACCUCUAGGACCGACGCAACUCAA